GGAGAGAUGCGAGAGUGGUUUAAUCGGACGGACUCGAAAUCCGUUGUGCUAAUUUAGCACCGAGGGUUCGAAUCCCUCUUUCUCCG
This 86-nucleotide transfer RNA is filed under the name Spirochaetes bacterium GWB1_27_13. Its description in RNAcentral is "tRNA-Ser". It matches the Rfam family "tRNA". Rfam says of the family: Transfer RNA (tRNA) molecules are approximately 80 nucleotides in length. Their secondary structure includes four short double-helical elements and three loops (D, anti-codon, and T loops). Lineage: Bacteria; Pseudomonadati; Spirochaetota. RNAcentral also lists the same sequence under 2 other names. The record is from RNAcentral.